GACGAACGCUGGCGGCGUGCUUAACACAUGCAAGUCGAACGGAAAGGCCCUGCUUUUUUGGGGUUCUCGAGUGGCGAACGGGUGAGUAACACGUGAGUAACCUGCCCUUGACUUUGGGAUAACUUCAGGAAACUGGGGCUAAUACCGUAUAGGAGCCCCUGCUGCAUUGUGGGGGUUGGAAAGUUUCGGCUGUUGGGGAUGGACUCGCGGCUUAUCGGCUUGUUGGUUGGGUAGUGGCUUACCAAGGCUUUGACGGGUAGCCGGCCUGGGAGGGUGACCGGCCACAUGGGGACUAAGGGAGGGCCCAGACUCCUACGGGAGGCAACAGGGGGGAAUAUUGCACAAUGGGCGGGAGUCUGAUGCAGAAGCGUCGCGUGUGGGAUGACGGCCUUUGGGUUGUAAAACGCUGUCGCCUGAGACGAAGCGUGAGUGACGGUAAUGGAUGAAGAAGCACCGGCUAACUACGUG
This 468-nucleotide ribosomal RNA is filed under the name uncultured bacterium. RNAcentral's name for it is "partial 16S ribosomal RNA". It matches the Rfam family "Bacterial small subunit ribosomal RNA", at positions 28 to 507 of the family's 1533-position model. The record is from RNAcentral.